This 4782-nucleotide long non-coding RNA is filed under the name Hordeum vulgare. RNAcentral describes it as "long non-coding RNA (HVUL_LNC005760)". Lineage: Eukaryota; Viridiplantae; Streptophyta; Magnoliopsida; Poales; Poaceae. The record is from RNAcentral.
GAGUAGGCGCGAUGCAGCGGCCGCGUCACAACCGUCCAUCUAAACGAAGCGGUAGACACGUGGGUCCGACAACGCGGGGCGGUGGGGGCUUUAUCUUCGAAUUUUUAGGGAGACGAGCCGUCCACACUCCACUUCUCAUUACCCAUUCCCCUCCCUCACUCUCUCCGCCAAAUCCCUAGCAUCGGAGUCCACCAUUGACGGGAGAGCUAGUACGGGGGUGGUGCGGGAGGAAGCGGGAUUGGGGGGCGGGCAACAAGUGGAUCGGCGGGGGAGACCCCGCGCCGCGCACUCGACCGGAGGAAGGGUGCUCUACACACGGAGGCUGUGGGCCGACGAAGAUCCAAGUCGUCUCUGCCGCAUCCACGGAAACCACAGGUUAGCUUUUCUCCGGCGACCUGAUGCUAGCCAUUCCCCCUCCCUCCUACAUGUUUCUCUGGCAUACGAGCACGACGGGGAGGUUGAUUCCGUUUGGGAGCAAAUUGGAACAAAGUCGAGGGAAAAUCGAGAGGGGGGAGGCGAAAUCAUAGUCAUAGUUGGUACCAACGGGUUCAUGGAGGGGAGUGGGAGGGGGGAGCAGGACCUAUGGUUCGAUUCGAGUUUUCUGUAGGCAACUGAAUUUUCGUCUUUGUAUGUUUUGUAGGCAAAUCAGUUAGGUAACCGAAAUAUAAACGCAGGCAAUUUAAUUGUCCCCAUGGAUUCUGUAGGCAAAAAUGUCCCCCAUGGAUUUCGUAGGCAUCCUACAGAGAGAUAAGUAGGCAUUUCCCUUGUAGGCAUCCCACACACAGAGAUUGUAGGCUUUGUACUUGUGUUCCAAAUUUUGCCUGCAGAUAUGUGCCACAGAAGUUCAAUGUCGUUUUCCUUCACCAUGAACUUGAAAUGUAUACAGCAUUCGCUGCUAUCACCAAAAGGUAGAAGGGCCAGCUGUAGACCCGCCUGGAGAGAACUCAGGGUCCAUCCACAUCCAUCUCGACUCCAAGCAUCUAGAGAAACACGAAAGCCAGUUGAAAGGUACCUUUCAUUCAGAUCCGACCCACCUCUUGACACUUCUGCUGCUAUAUUAUGUUAUGUUUACGCACCUUAUUCUCGGGAGGCUGCAAUGGGCCAAGAAAAGCUCUGCUCCAAAACAGUCUUAAUUAGCUCUAGAGCAUGUGUCAAAUAUGGAUCCUGUCCUGCAUUUUGUAUGUGCGCGCUUGUCCUGUCUGUUUGAAAUCUUGCGUGUAAAGGGGAUCUUGCUUGCUUGCUAUGGCUGGAAAGCUCUAGGUUUCACAAGCAAGAGGAAUCAUGUGCCUCGAGAGAGAUUAGUAGGCAAAAUGCAUUCCAUGUGUUUUUUGUAGGCAUCCCACGGAGAUAUUAGUAGGCAAAACGUAUUCCAUGGAUUUUUUAGGCAUCAUUAGUAGGCAAAAUGUAUUCCAUGGAUUUUUUUUUGUAGGCAAGAUACACCCAUAGAUAUUUUGUAGGAAAAUCACUUGUUUGUGUGUUCCAUCAACAGGCAACAAUUUAUUAAAACACAAGAACAAUUUUUUUUCAGGGCAAUACUAUAAGUCCCUACCACAAGACCUACUAUAAGAUAUGUGAGAAAUGUAGAUAGCUUUUGAUAUGACAUGACAUGGCAAAUCAGAUAAGAGUAAAGAGUAAAGUGCUACUAAUCUGAAGUAGAUGCGGAGAUUUUGGUGCGGGAAAUAGUAAGGACCGGGAUCUUCAGAAAUGUGCAUCGGAAUCCGACCCAUGAUGCUUAUUUCUGCCAGUUGGGGGCCAUUAUAGAUUCAUUUCCCUGAUGGUUUAGCAGCUGCAGUAGCUGCGGCACGAAGCCAAGCAUGUCCUUUUUAGUAGCUGCAGCAGCUGUGGCAUGAUUUAGCUGCAGUCCCUGUAGGCAAUUUGAGGGCAACCUCUUUUUUCAUACCCUUUUUUUGUGGCAAGCUGUUUUGAGGAGCAAGCCUUAUCAGUGACCAUUCUUUUUUUUUUCUUUUUACCAGGCAAGACUUUUAUACUGGUUUUAAGAUGGAGGACUUCGCAGAUCAAAAUGAUAGCGAGGUACAGACCACAUUAUCAUAUCCUUUACUUGCGGCAUUUUUACAUUUUUACAUGUAUUAGGUAGAGAAUCAGUCAGCAGCACCAACAUGUAGUUAAGUUAUUCAGUUCUCGCCCACCCGGACGACCUAGGUCACCUAACACGGACGACCAAGUUGCCCAAAGCCCCGUCGAACACCGUCAUACCAAGUCGCCUCAACACAAAUGGGAGCUGCGACACUUCUCGCCCACCCAGGUGACCUAGGUCGCCUAACACGGACGACCAAGUCGCCCAAAGCCCCGCCGACAACCGUCAUACCAAGUCGCCUCAACACGAAUAGGGGCUGCGGCACUUCUCGCCCACCCCGACGACCUAGGCCGCCUAACACCGAUGACCAAGUCGCCCAAAGUCAUGUCAACAACCGUCAUACCAAGUCGUCUCAACACGAAUGGGGGCUACGGCACUUCUCGCCCACCGCGACGACCUAGAUCACCUAACACGGACGACCAAGUUACCCAAAGCCCUGUCGACCACCGUCAUACCAAGUCGCCUCAACACAAAUGGGGGCUGUGACACUUCUCGCCCACCCCGACGACCUAGGUCGCCUAACACCGACGACCAAGUCGCCCAAAGCCUGUCAACCACCAUCACACCAAGUGGCCUCAACACGAAUGGGGGCUGCGACACUUUUCGCCCACCCCAACGACCUAGGUCGCCUAACACGGACGACAAAGCCGCCCAAAGCCCCGCCGACCACCGUCGUACCAAGUCGCGUCAACAUGAAUGGGGGGUGCGACACUUCUUGCCCACCCCAACGACCUAGGUCUCCUAACACGGAUGACCAAGUCACCCAAAGCCCCGUCGACCACCGUCUUACCAAGUUGUCUCAACACGAAUGGGGGUUGCGGCACUUCUCGCCCACCCAGUGACCUAGGUCGCCUAACACGGACGACCAAGAUGUCGAAAGCCCUGUUGACCAACAUCACACAAAGUCGCCUCAAUACGAAUGGGGGCUGCGACACUUCUCGCCCACUCCGGUGACCUAGGUUGCCUAGCACGGACGACCAAGUUGCCCAAAGCCCCGUCGACAACUGUCAUACCAAGUCGCCUCAACACGAAUGGGGGGUGCGACACUUCUCGCCCACCCCGAUGACCUAGGUCGCCUAGCACGGACGACCAAGUCGCCCAAAGCCCCGCUGACAACCAUCAUACAAAGUCGCCUCAACACGAAUGGGGGGUGCGACACUUCUCACCCACCCCGGUGACCUAGGUCGCCUAACAUGGACGACCAAGUCGCCCAAAACUCCGUCGACAACCGUCAUACCAAGUCGCCUCAACACGAAUGGGGGGUGCGGCACUUCUCGCCCACCCCGGUGACCUAGGUCGCCUAGCACGGACGACCAAGUCGCCCAAAGCCCCGCCGACAACCGUCAUACCAAGUCAUCUCAACACGAAUGGGGGUGCGACACUUCUCGCCCACCCCGGUGACCUAGGUCGCCUAACACGGACGACCAAGUCGCCCAAAGCCGUGUCGACAACCGUCAUACCAAGUCGCCUCAACACAAAUGGGGGGUGCGGCACUUCUCGUCCACCCCGGUGACCUAGGUCGCCUAACACGGACGACCAAGUCGCCCAAAGCCGUGUUGACAACCGUCAUACCAAGUCGCCUCAACACAAAUGGGGGGUGCGGCACUUCUCGUCCACCCCGGUGACCUAGGUCGCCUAGCACCGACCGUUUGUCGCCUACACGCGACCCCCACGCACCCAAACACACGGUUUCUAUUGGUAGAAGUUGCCUAACCCCGGCAGACUAACUCGCCCGCAUACGUAAAAAACAACAAUAACCGAUCGUCUAUUGGCAACAACAAGCUUUAGCAACAAUUCCUCUGACUCGCCCACACCUUCAAUAGAAAUUGGCACUUUCUUUGGUUGGGCUUGUGUGCAGGAUGCAGGGCCACCAUCAUAAUCAGUAAACUCGUCAGGGAGCUCAUUGAGAUAAAUGCCACGCAUCUGCAUUUCUUUAGAAGUCAGGAAUGAAAAAAUUGUUAGCAUUCAGAUUUUUUGUCGCAUCAUGCAAGCAAAAAUGUGUAUAGUACCAGCUUUUCUCCAGGCUAUUUUUUCGAUGGAUAAGUCUGUGUUUUUGUAAGAAACUAGAGUUUACUACUAGUUUCUUGCCGUAAGCAAUUAAAAAAUUUCCCAGCAUAUACACAAUUGCUUCUUUUUUCAUUUCAUUUUUCUUUUUUGCAGAACAAGGUACAAAACAAUAGUCAAGCAAAAUUCAAGGGCCAGGAGUCAGCAGCUUCUUAUGUUCAUAGCACCAAGUUCAGCAACAUUCAGUACAAAGGCUAGUUUUUGCAGUUUUUGUAGUUUGUAGGCAACAUUCAGCAACACCAGGUUCAACAACAACUCAGUACAGAGGCUAGAUUUUGCAGUUUUUGCUCUGAAAUAGACAGGGAAAUCUACUAGUUCCAUUCAGCAAUAGACAGGGAAAUCUACUAUUUCUUAAGACAGUACCUAGACAAACUGAAUUGCUCUUGAUAGACAUGUUUACCUUUUGCUGUUUCACUUUGAAGAGUUUUACCCAGUUGUGGGAGUUGAAUUGCUAUCAAUCUCUGGAAAUUGUGUCUGAUCAGGAGGAAGAAGUUGCAGGCACAACUGCAUUCAAGAUUUAUCACUAUGAUUUUUUGCCUUAUUUUUUGAUCUCUUUUCAAUCUGAUUUCGCUGCGGCAGGGGAGCUCCUAGAAGUGGGGGACGCUAGGUUUUCUGGCGAUGGG